Long non-coding RNA from Nymphaea colorata (pocket water lily), 866 nucleotides. RefSeq lists it as uncharacterized. Lineage: Eukaryota; Viridiplantae; Streptophyta; Magnoliopsida; Nymphaeales; Nymphaeaceae. The transcript is spliced from 3 exons. The record is from RefSeq and is a predicted model, not a curated record.
UCAGUUCCUCUUCUUCGACCUUCAGGCGAUAGGCAGGGCUUCAAUCUUCAUCCCCUUCUUCUACCUUCUGGCUUCUGCCCUUCUUCCUGACUCGGCGACUCCCUUCUUCUUCUUCGUUCCUUGACUCCUUCUUCUUCGUCGCAUUGGUGGAGGGCUGGAGGCUGGGGCCGCCAUCCUCUUCUUCGUCGCAUUGGGUGGAGCCGGCGUUUCUUCUUCGUCCCUUCUUCUCACUUCUCAGUUCUUCUUUGUGUUACUGACAGGUGAACAAAAUACAUGACCAAAUAAGAGAAGAUGGUCACAUGAGUCCUUUUGAUUGGUGGGUGUCCUAUGGAUCAGAAAUGCCCGUGCUUCAUAAACUUGCUUUGAGAUUACUAUCACAACCUGUUACAUCAUCGUGUUGUGAAAAAAAUUGGAGCAUAUAUGGUCAUAUAUACAACAUUAAAAGGAACAGGCUCACUAGCCAACGUGCAGAGGACUUGGUUUAUGUGCAUUCCAAUUGGCGUCUUCUUUCAAGAAAAGAAAAUGAAUACAGAUGUGGAUCAUCGCAAUAUUGGAUGUAAAUCAAGAUGAAUUUGAUUUUGAUGGAGAACGCAACUUAUAUGUUGCUAACAUGGAUUUUUCUGAUCCUGUUAUUCUCUAUGAGGCAUUUGAUGAUGAUGAUAUCGUUCCAAGCAUUCAAGAAAAUCAACAUAUUGGUGGAAGUGGAAGUGCAACGUAACUUUGGUUUAUGAAUGAUGAUGUAAUAUCUAAUAUGUAUUGAUGUAUGAACUAUGAAGGCGUUUGAUGAUGAAGAAUAUGUAUUGAUGACUCUAUGAACUGUGUUUUCUGUGAACUCAAAACUAGAGUACAUUUUUUGUUGAAUGUUG